UACGAAGGGGGCUAGCGUUGUUCGGAAUUACUGGGCGUAAAGCGCACGUAGGCGGGCUAUUAAGUCAGGGGUGAAAUCCCGGAGCUCAACUCCGGAACUGCCUUUGAUACUGGUAGUCUAGAGAUCGGAAGAGGUUAGUGGAAUUCCCAGUGUAGAGGUGAAAUUCGUAGAUAUUGGGAAGAACACCAGUGGCGAAGGCGGCUAACUGGUCCGAUACUGACGCUGAGGUGCGAAAGCGUGGGGAGCAAACAGGAUUAGAUACC
RNAcentral lists this ribosomal RNA (263 nucleotides) under uncultured bacterium. RNAcentral describes it as "partial 16S ribosomal RNA". It matches the Rfam family "Bacterial small subunit ribosomal RNA", at positions 524 to 786 of the family's 1533-position model. The record is from RNAcentral.